RNAcentral lists this long non-coding RNA (317 nucleotides) under Gallus gallus (chicken). Lineage: Eukaryota; Metazoa; Chordata; Aves; Galliformes; Phasianidae. The record is from RNAcentral.
CUUCUGUCUUUUUUUAAGAAGCACUGAGGAGUGGUACAAAUUGCUUCUCUUGUUAGUGGUUUCUUAAUGAAUUUCUUCUUCUGUUUGCUUUGAAGUUUGGGAAAGUGCUUUAUGUAGUCUGGCACAGGACAGCCAGCUCGCUGAAUAACAUUGGCUAUACUUCGUAAUAAAGGUUUAUCAUCUUCUGUAAAGAAGGUGACUGCUUUCCCUGUGUGUCCCGCUCUUCCAGUACGACCUAUUCUGUGGAUGUACUCCACUGCACUCGUCGGCAAAUCAUAAUUAAUGACCAUAUUCACUCCUUUGAAGUCAAUCCCUCG